UUUAUCAUCACAAACGUCUAUGCUCCCGCAAGUCGCAACCUCAAACAAGCUUUUCUCGAUGAACUCAGAACGAUAAAACAAGAUGACCACACGCCCUGGUUAAUAGUAGGAGAUUUCAACCUUGUACGUUUUUCGCACGAAAAAAAUAACCACAACUUUCACCAACCAGAAGCAGAUGCUUUUAACAGCAUAAUCAAUGAGUUAGCCCUACUCGAACUCCCAGUGCUCCACCGACGCUUCACUUGGUCUUCAAACACUCUCUGCCAACCUUAG
RNAcentral lists this ribosomal RNA (273 nucleotides) under Triticum aestivum (bread wheat). RNAcentral describes it as "partial small subunit ribosomal RNA". The record is from RNAcentral. Lineage: Eukaryota; Viridiplantae; Streptophyta; Magnoliopsida; Poales; Poaceae.